UACGAAGGGGGCUAGCGUUGUUCGGAAUUACUGGGCGUAAAGCGCGCGCAGGCGGUUCUUCAAGUCAGUGGUGAAAGCCCGGAGCUCAACUCCGGAACUGCCAUUGAAACUGUAGAACUAGAGGAUGAGAGAGGUGAGUGGAAUUCCCAGUGUAGAGGUGAAAUUCGUAGAUAUUGGGAAGAACACCGGUGGCGAAGGCGGCUCACUGGCUCAUUUCUGACGCUCAGGCGCGACAGCGUGGGGAUCAAACAGG
RNAcentral lists this ribosomal RNA (253 nucleotides) under uncultured bacterium. RNAcentral's name for it is "partial 16S ribosomal RNA". It matches the Rfam family "Bacterial small subunit ribosomal RNA", at positions 524 to 776 of the family's 1533-position model. The record is from RNAcentral.